UCCUGUCUCAGGAUGAACGCUGGCGGCGUGCCUAAUACAUGCAAGUCGAGCGAGAAAUUCUUUAAUGAAUCUUCGGAGGAUUUAAGGAAUGGACAGCGGCGGACGGGUGAGUAACGCGUAGGCAACCUGCCUCGCACAGAGGGAUAGCCAUUGGAAACGAUGAAUAAUACCUCAUGAAACCGGAACAACACAUGUUGAUCCGGUCAAAGAUUUAUCGGUGUGAGAUGGGCCUGCGUCUGAUUAACUAGUUGGUGAGGUAACGGCUCACCAAGGUGACGAUCAGUAGCCGACCUGAGAGGGUGAUCGGCCACAUUGGAACUGAGACACGGUCCAAACUUCUACGGAAGGCAGCAGUAGGGAAUCUUGCACAAUGGGCGAAAGCCUGAUGCAGCAACGCCGCGUGAAGGAUGAAGGCCUUCGGGUUGUAAACUUCUGUUCCCGGGGACGAAGAAAGUGACGGUACCCGGGCAGCAAGCCCCGGCUAACUACGUGCCAGCAGCCGCGGUAAUACGUAGGGGGCAAGCGUUAUCCGGAAUUAUUGGGCGUAAAGAGUGCGUAGGUGGUUAUGUAAGCGUGAGGUUUAAGGCAGUGGCUUAACCACUGUUCGCCUUGCGAACUGCAUAACUUGAGUGCAGGAGGAGAAAGCGGAAUUCCUAGUGUAGCGGUGAAAUGCGUAGAUAUUAGGAGGAACACCAGCGGCGAAGGCGGCUUUCUGGACUGCAACUGACACUGAGGCACGAAAGCGUGGGGAGCAAACAGGAUUAGAUACCCUGGUAGUCCACGCCGUAAACGAUGAGCACUAGUUGUUGGGUCCGAACGGAUUCAGUGACGCAGUUAACGCAAUAAGUGCUCCGCCUGGGGAGUACGCUCGCAAGAGUAAAACUCAAAGGAAUUGACGGGGACCCGCACAAGCAGCGGAGCAUGUGGUUUAAUUCGAAGCAACGCGAAAAACCUUACCAGGACUUGACAUCCUGCUGACAGGCCCUUAACCGGGCCCUUCUUCGGACAGCAGAGACAGGUGGUGCAUGGUUGUCGUCAGCUCGUGUCGUGAGAUGUUGGGUUAAGUCCCGCAACGAGCGCAACCCUUGUUGUCAGUUACUAACAUUAAGUUGAGGACUCUGGCGAGACUGCCGAGGUUAACUCGGA
Molecule: ribosomal RNA, 1146 nt
Filed under: uncultured bacterium
Lineage: Bacteria
Description: bacterial SSU rRNA
Rfam family: Bacterial small subunit ribosomal RNA
Source: RNAcentral